UAGGGAAUAUUGGUCAAUGGGCGGGAGCCUGAACCAGCCAUGCCGCGUGCGGGAAGAAGGCCCUACGGGUCGUAAACCGCUUUUAUACGGGAACAACCGCAGCUACGUGUAGCUGUCUGAGUGUACCGUAGGAAUAAGGAUCGGCUAACUCCGUGCCAGCAGCCGCGGUAAUACGGAGGAUCCGAGCGUUAUCCGGAAUUAUUGGGUUUAAAGGGUGCGUAGGCGGCCUGUUAAGUCAGGGGUGAAAGUCGGCAGCUCAACUGUCGCAGUGCCUUUGAUACUGUUUGGCUUGAAUUCGGUUGAAGAUGGCGGAAUGAGACAAGUAGCGGUGAAAUGCAUAGAUAUGUCUCAGAACCCCGAUUGCGAAGGCAGUAUCUAAGCCGUUAUUGACGCUGAUGCACGAAAGACGUGGGGAGCAAACAGGAUUAGAUACCC
RNAcentral lists this ribosomal RNA (435 nucleotides) under uncultured bacterium. RNAcentral's name for it is "bacterial SSU rRNA". It matches the Rfam family "Bacterial small subunit ribosomal RNA", at positions 355 to 787 of the family's 1533-position model. The record is from RNAcentral.